UCUUUAAAAAUCUCUUUAUGGUCUUAAACAAGCACCACGUGCCUGGUUCAACGCUUUUCUACUUAUGCUCAAACCAUCGGUUUUACCCCUUCCCGUUCUGACACUUCACUCUCCACCUUUCAUCACAACAACAACACUGCUUACCUUCUUUUAUAUGUUGAUGAUAUUAUCCUCACAGCUCCUCACAACAAUUUUUAGAUCAUAUUAUCUCUCUUCUUCAUCACGAAUUCUCUAUGACAGAUUUAGGUCUUCUUCACCACUUCUUAGGUAUUGCUGUUAUCCGUGACUCCUCUGGUCUUUUCUUGUCUCAACGUCAGUACACUCUGGAUCUUCUUUCUCGUGCUGGUAUGCUUGAUUGUCAAACUUCCCGUACCCCUGUUGAUAUAGGUUCCAAACUCUCUGCCGAUGGUGAUCCUUUCUCUGAUCCUUCUCUUUAUCGUAGUCUUACCGGUGUACUUCAGUAUCUUACUCUCACUCGACCUGAAAUUUCUUUUGCUGUCCAACAAGCUUGUUUAUACAUGCAUGAUCCUCGUAUUCCACACUACAAUCAUGUCAAACGUAUUCUUCGGUAUCUUAAAGGCACACUAGACUUAGGUCUUCAUAUCAACAACUCCUCUCCCACCUCCUUGACAGCUUACUCCGAUGCAGACUGGGCUGGUUGUCCAGAUACUCGUAGGUCCACAUCCGGAUUUUGUGUUUUUCUUGGUAACAAUUUGGUUUCUUGGUCUUCAAAAAGGCAAGUUACGGUCUCCCGCUCGUCUGCUAAAGCUGAGUACCGCGCUGUGGCUCAUGCGGUUGCUGAGACGGUUUGGUUGCGCCAGUUGCUGUCAGAGCUGCACCGUCCUAUUGAGCAAGCUACCAUUGUUUACUGUGAUAAUACUUCAGCUGUCUACAUGUCAGGGAAUCCGGUUCAACACCGUCGCACCAAGCAUAUUGAGAUCGACAUUCAUUUUGUUCGAGAAAAGGUGGCUCUCGGUCAAGUUCACGUUCUCCACGUGCCUACUUCUGCUCAGUUUGCUGAUAUCUUUACUAAAGGCAUGGCGACUACUCCGUUUCAAGACAUUCGUUUCAGUCUCAACGUCGUCGAGCCUACCGUUGACACUGCGGGGGAUGUUAGAAUACAUUUUGUAUUAGGAUUAAGACUCUUCGGUUUGUAAUAAGGCUAGGUCAAGUGUGGCUGGGCUCUUAUAUAUACUUCUUGUACCGGCACAAUAUUGUAUCAACAAUUAUUCAAUACAAUUCUACACCUUUCCCCUCUCUCGCAAUGCGACUAGCGAAAGCCUUCCUUCUCUCGAUCUUCACCGGCGAACCUGUGGAUUCGCCUCCCCUUCGUCUGUCGUUCUAGCGGACGGUGGCGGGGGAGGGGAUUUCUAGUGCCUCAGAUCCGGCUAGUAGAUAGGUAGGGAUUUAGUCCUCGCAGAGGCGGCGGUUGGACAAAUAGCGGUGCUUCUUCUUCGAGUCAAUCUUCCGGGCUCCGAUCCUCCUCAAGUUCGUCCGUUGGGACGGAUUAGACGGAGCUCCGGCGUAGAUUCCUGUCAGCUCCUCGGGGCGGCGAGGUUAGGGUUUCUUGUCGAGUGUACGCAACGGCGAUAUUUCAUGUCAGGUUCUUCAGAUCGAUUUAAGGAUUCAACGGCGACGACUGCAGCUCCGGGGCGCUGGUCCUUAGGGGCACGUGCACGAAGACUUUUCGACUAUCAUCGACAAGGUCAGGCCGGCUUCGAUAUGGGAGCAACGACUGCGGCACGUUCUGGUAACAACACAGGAGCAAACAUUUGAUGCCUCUGGUUAGAUGAUCGGUGCCUUGCCUACCGUCCGUGGAGACGUCGGACGUGUCGGCAGAUAUUUGGUGCCGUCAGUUUGAUGAUGAUCGGCGUUUUUCAAAUGGAUGAUGAUCGGCGUUCUUCAAAUGAUAGACAAGCCGUUGCGUAUUCGCAAAAAAAGAAGACGAUGAUCGGCGUUGGAGUUGCACUGACGCUUUAGCACCUGCAUGCUUUAUUGCUGGUCUUGUAGGACCCCCACAGCUCUCGAGAUAUGUGGCUAUUUUGGGGAUAUUUCUUUGGUCUUAGUAGCUGUUUUCCUGUUUUGUUCCAUUUGUUGCUGUGCUACUUUCCUAGUUUUCUGCUACCCUCAAAGCCACAUUUGCGAUGAGUUGAUGGCAGUGCUACGCCACUACUGCUGCUGGGUUCUUCCGUGUUUUGUUUUCAGAACAAUUGGACCCACCAAUGCUAUUGCACUAAAGAAGAAAAUAAACUAAUGAUCGCUGUUAUGGCCGGUUUAGCUAGGCCCACCGGACAAUCUUAGUCCACAAGUUAUUUUAGGUUAAUUCUUAUGCAAGUUAUCUAGGUUAUAAAUAUAGCCAGUUAAUUCUUAUCUAGGUUAUGGCGCGCCGACCCAGACGCCGCCACGGUUCGCCAAGAUUGAUUUCGCCACUUAUGACGGCACGAAGGACCCGCUUAACUGGCUCAACCAGUGUGAGCAGUUUUUCCGUGGCCAGCGCACGCUCGCGUCGGAGCGCACUUGGCUGGCAUCCUACCACCUCCGCGGUGCAGCCCAGACCUGGUACUACGCCCUCGAGCAGGACGAGGGCAGCAUGCUCUCUUGGGAGCGCUUCCGCGAGCUCUGCCUCCUUCGCUUUGGGCCUCCGGUUCGCGGGAGCCGCCUGGCGGAGCUCGGCCGCCUUCCCUUCACCUCCACGGUGCAGAACUUCGCCGACCGUUUCCAGGCCCUGGCAUGCCAUGCGUCGGGCGUGACGGCGCAGCAGCGGGCCGACCUCUUUGUCGGUGGACUUCCGGAUCACAUCCGCGUGGACGUGGAGCUUUUCCAGGCCCUGGCAUGCCAUGCGUCGGGCGUGACGGCGCAGCAGCGGGCCGACCUCUUUGUCGGUGGACUUCCGGAUCACAUCCGCGUGGACGUGGAGCUUCGGGGACCCCAGGAUCUCCAGUCGGCCAUGUACUACGCCCGUGCGUUCGAGCGCCGCGCGGUGGCCAUCCAGCAGGAAUCACCGUCCCGGACCGCUGGGUCGCUACCCGGGCCGGAUUCCGCGCAGGGUCGGCCUGCGUAGGCUUCUGCGGCACCCCUCGCCGCGACCGCGACGCGCCCGUUCCGCCGGCUCACCUCAGCCGAGCUACUCGAGCGUCGCCGUCAAGGGUUGUGCUUCAACUGCGACGAGCCCUACACGCCCGGCCAUGCCUGCCCGCGACUCUUCUACCUGGAGGUUGCAGACUACAUUCCGGAGGACGCCGUCGCCGUCGACCUGGCCGCCCCAGCUGUCGAGAAGGUGUUUGACGCUGGUUGAUCGCCUCGAGGAGUUCCGCAAGCGCUUCCCCACCUUACAGCUCGAGGACGAGCUGUUUGUGCAGGCGGGGAGAAGUGUUAUGGCCGGUUUAGCUAGGCCCACCGGGCAAUCUUAGCCCACAAGUUAUCUUAGGUUAAUUCUUAUGCAAGUUAUCUAGGUUAUAAAUAUAGGUUGUAAGACUUUUUUUGGAAUUAAGCAAUAAGAAUAUUAUUAUCCCUAUUGCCCGGCUCUCAGAGGAGCCGGAACCCUAGCCGCCUCUAACUCUAGCCGCCGCCGCCAUCCUCCUCCUACGCGACGGCGCCCAGCCGCCGGCGCGCCCUCCUCCAUCCUUCCCCUACAACCUACGGAGCAGGUCCGGUAGGAUCCCUGGUUCUACCAAUCGCCCAUACGCAUAACAACAUUCUGGUAUAAUCAUCAGUAGUCCAAUUGACAUAUUAUUAGGGAUAACACAGGGAGAGCAAGGUACGCGAGCCGAAUGACUUCAGAACAACAAGAGUGAUGAUGCCCAAACCUAACAAAGAGAAAUCCUACAAAAGAGUACCAUCAAGUGGGCCAGUUAUUGGUUGGAUGUGCAUGAGAGUUUAUCAGUUAUCAGAUAACAUUCUAACCGCGGCAUCCAAAUUACUCCAACCAAUAACUGAUAACACAACUAUUCGAUGCCCCAAGCAUGCUUCGGCCCAAUAACAGCACAUAAUUUCUCCAAGUGGACACUUUGAAAACAAAUCAACUUUACUGCACUUUCCUGGCUUCUGCCCGGGGCUUCCAAAGACCAAGGCGGUACUUGUGGGCAAAACUCAAAAUCAACUUCCUCUGCACCAUGGCAAAGAAACCGAAUUAGUAAUUUAAUUCAAGCAUAAUUUAAUCAUAAAUUAACCGCCUGGGAUAGAAAGGAAAUUAAACAGAAGAAACAUAUCACAGUAAAUGUUGAUGAUGGCAAAUAGCGGCUAGCGAGCUGUGAGCUAUCUUUAGAAUUUGUGUGGAUUGGCAACCUGGAUAUGUCGAAUAUCUGAAAUGCUUCUCAUGCACUCGUUUGGCUGCUGUUAUUUAGAACACCGAUCACUGUAUUUUACAAGCAAUUGGAACAUCUACCAAAUGUUACGCACACAUUUACAAGCUACCUACUUCCUAAGAAAUCCAGUGACGUCCAAGCUUUGUCCGUUGGUGCUGCUAUUUCAUGUUGACUAUAGUAACUAGAGGAAACAAACAAGUACAAAGUUGCUACCUGAAUGUUAGUGCACUGGAAUCUCCUUUCCUGGCUACCGUUUUUAUAUCUACAAAUUCCAUUCUAAAUCGGGGACUCAUGGAGCAUGUUUGAUAAAUCUGUUCGAACUUGGUAAUAUGUUAAAACAGUGCCAGUUGUACUCCUGGUCCAGCAACAGCUCUGGUUGUAUGCUUGGAUAGAAAAUGUUGUNNNNNNNNNNNNNNNNNNNNNNNNNNNNNNNNNNNNNNNNNNNNNNNNNNNNNNNNNNNNNNNNNNNNNNNNNNNNNNNNNNNNNNNNNNNNNNNNNNNNNNNNNNNNNNNNNNNNNNNNNNNNNNNNNNNNNNNNNNNNNNNNNNNNNNNNNNNNNNNNNNNNNNNNNNNNNNNNNNNNNNNNNNNNNNNNNNNNNNNNNNNNNNNNNNNNNNNNNNNNNNNNNNNNNNNNNNNNNNNNNNNNNNNNNNNNNNNNNNNNNNNNNNNNNNNNNNNNNNNNNNNNNNNNNNNNNNNNNNNNNNNNNNNNNNNNNNUAGAUAACAUGUACAUUGUCUAAGGGUUUAUUUGUACAGAUUCAGGGAGUUUCCACAGUUCUUGCUAUGUGCAGCCCGCAAUUUUUAUUUAAUUCUAACGUGAUUAUUAAUUAAGUUCUUGAUCAGAACCAUUCAAUUCAUUUAUACUGACAGAUGUAGUAGUAUGAACAUUUUUUUAGAUAUGAUACUUAUUUUCUUAACAUAUUAGACUCAUUGAGCCAUUCUGCAGCUUAAGAAUAAUAAUACACAAAGAAACUAGUUUGGUUUCCUCAUCUCAGCCUAUCAGGUUUCUGCUCCUAAAGAUGUUCUCAGAAUUUCUUUAUAUACUUGUUUCAUGUUAUGGGACAAUGCGCUAAGCUUAGAUACUCAGCUAGAUCGGUAACAUUUUUGUUUCCAUUCACACUUUUGCAUACGGUUGAUUUAACAUUCUAUACAUGGCAAAUCUUUAUGCUUACAUAUUUAUUGUUGUAAUCAGCGUGUGGACGAACAUAACUAGGAGGCCUACCAUUUCUCAUAGCUUUGGAAGCAAACUGGACCUCACUAAAUAGAGCUGGGAUGUUUCUAUUAGACGUCUGGUUUAGUAAAAUGCUAUCUAAAGCCUGAAUACGACAUUCAGAUUAAUUUGGUUCAGUUUACUUGUGCAUUUCCUACAAUUAUAACAUUUAUGCAGGGUCGUCUUUUAAUCACCUUUUUAUCAGUCUCAAGUUAACUAAGAGUUUUGACAUUGCAGUCCCAAUUUUUUUUCCUAAUUUUGUGGCAAUUGUUCAUAAAUGCUGGUUAUUAGGACAUCACUAUAGGAUAUGUCAGGGACUUCUUUUAUGAUAACUUUGAUUUUAAACCCUGGAGAGGUCUUACCUGGUGGAAACGCCGUCCAAGGACCCAUCACAUGCUAAUGAGUUCCACACAGGUAUGACACUGAGUCAACAAUGUGAUGUCCGAACCCCGGUUUACAAUGGCGGAGACAGGGGGGACCAGCAGGGGCCCUGGCCCCCCCCNNNNNNNNNNCCCCCCCCUAACAUCCAAUAUUUGCUGCUAAUUAGCUAAUGAACAGUGGGUAAUUAGUGAGUAUUUGCUGCUAAAAACCUACUUUCCAAUGAUUUGGCCCUCUCCAACCAGUUCUAACAGCCCUCGGCCCCCCUGAUAAUAUUUUCCUGGCUCCGCCACUGCCGGUUUACUCUGGCAUUUGCAUGCUAUCCUAAAUCAUGCUAUUGAACAUCUUAAUUGGUUCUUUCUGGAUAUGUGUGUGCCAACUUAUAUGCAAUCCUAUGCCUAGAACAUUAGACGGAUCAAGAUAUUUUGAACAAAAUUGCCAGACUUCCUCAAAUUACUUCAUCAAGAAGGGUGGGGCCUUUGUGUUCGUGCACAUGAACCAUCUAAUACCAAACUAAGCCGAUGGCUCUUAUCCAAGCAUCACAACAUUGGAGAACAAAACCUAACCAAACUAUACAUUUACACAACGAAAUGCCCCAAGAAGCAGGGUGUAGCCAGCAAAACCACAUCAAGCCUUCUCUGAAACUACAAAGGACACACCAAUUAAAUCAAAGGAAUAUCUUGAGCAGGGAGGAGACUAACAUGCUUGCAGGGGACGCCGAGUUUCUUGAGCCGUAGCGUGCGGGUCUCGAGCAGCCUCUNNNN
This 6655-nucleotide long non-coding RNA is filed under the name Triticum aestivum (bread wheat). RNAcentral describes it as "long non-coding RNA (TAES_LNC028663)". Lineage: Eukaryota; Viridiplantae; Streptophyta; Magnoliopsida; Poales; Poaceae. The record is from RNAcentral.